Molecule: long non-coding RNA, 206 nt
Filed under: Elaeis guineensis (African oil palm)
Lineage: Eukaryota; Viridiplantae; Streptophyta; Magnoliopsida; Arecales; Arecaceae
Description: long non-coding RNA (EGUI_LNC001748)
Source: RNAcentral
UAGAUGGAUUACAAGAAGUAGAUACUCUGGACACUUCACAGCUGGUCCAAACAUGAUCCUUAUGGCAUACCGCGCAAUGAGGAGAUUCAAUGGAGAUAGUGAUCAAGGGUUCCCUAGCUAAAAGCAGAUGACAAAAACACAGCUUUCUUUCAUCAAGUGGCAUUAGCAAGGAGACGGUUUAAUUCUUACCCAAAAAAAAAAAAAAG